Molecule: small RNA, 60 nt
Filed under: Caenorhabditis elegans
Lineage: Eukaryota; Metazoa; Nematoda; Chromadorea; Rhabditida; Rhabditidae
Description: Unclassified non-coding RNA K02A6.6
Source: RNAcentral
GGAACUGAGAGCAAAGCGCAUAUUGAAGAAGAAAGAGUGUGAUCCCAGGAAUUAGAUAUU